This 87-nucleotide transfer RNA is filed under the name Acidobacteriota bacterium. RNAcentral describes it as "tRNA-Leu". It matches the Rfam family "tRNA". Rfam says of the family: Transfer RNA (tRNA) molecules are approximately 80 nucleotides in length. Their secondary structure includes four short double-helical elements and three loops (D, anti-codon, and T loops). Lineage: Bacteria; Pseudomonadati; Acidobacteriota. RNAcentral also lists the same sequence under 2 other names. The record is from RNAcentral.
GCGGACGUGGCGGAACUGGUAGACGCGCAGGUCUCAGAAGCCUGUGAUGGUGACAUCGUGAUGGUUCGAUUCCAUUCGUCCGCACCA